RNAcentral lists this transfer RNA (53 nucleotides) under Podarcis lilfordi (Lilford's wall lizard). RNAcentral describes it as "tRNA.Leu". Lineage: Eukaryota; Metazoa; Chordata; Lepidosauria; Squamata; Lacertidae. The record is from RNAcentral.
GCAGUAGCCCAGUGGCAGAACACCAGUCCCAGGUUCAAAUCCUGGCAUCUCCA